This 242-nucleotide ribosomal RNA is filed under the name uncultured bacterium. RNAcentral describes it as "partial 16S ribosomal RNA". It matches the Rfam family "Bacterial small subunit ribosomal RNA", at positions 524 to 764 of the family's 1533-position model. The record is from RNAcentral.
UACGAAGGGGGCUAGCGUUGUUCGGAAUCACUGGGCGUAAAGCGCACGCAGGCGGAUUGAUAAGUCAGGGGUGAAAUCCCGGAGCUCAACUUCGGAAUUGCCUUUGAUACUGUCUAUCUUCGAGUUCGGGAGAGGUUGGCGGAAUUCCUAGUGUAGAGGUGAAAUUCGUAGAUAUUAGGAAGAACACCAGUGGCGAAGGCGGCCAACUGGCCCGAUACUGACGCUCAUGUGCGAAAGCGUGG